AUUUACCCUUUCCAGAGAUGGAUAGUUCCUUCGGGACGGCGGACAGGUGCUGCAUGGCUGUCGUCAGCUCGUGUCGUGAGAUGUUCGGUUAAGUCCGGCAACGAGCGCAACCCACAUCCUUAGUUGCCAGCAGUUCGGCUGGGCACUCUAGGGAAACUGCCCGUGAUAAGCGGGAGGAAGGUGUGGAUGACGUCAAGUCCUCAUGGCCCUUACGGGUUGGGCUACACACGUGCUACAAUGGUGGUGACAGUGGGUUAAUCCCAAAAAGCCAUCUCAGUUCGGAUUGUCGUCUGCAACUCGACGGCAUGAAGUCGGAAUCGCUAGUAAUCGCGUAACAGCAUGACGCGGUGAAUACGUUCCCGGGUCUUGUACACACCGA
RNAcentral lists this ribosomal RNA (379 nucleotides) under uncultured bacterium. RNAcentral's name for it is "bacterial SSU rRNA". It matches the Rfam family "Bacterial small subunit ribosomal RNA", at positions 986 to 1393 of the family's 1533-position model. The record is from RNAcentral.